RNAcentral lists this ribosomal RNA (463 nucleotides) under Babesia venatorum (nom. ined.). RNAcentral describes it as "SSU rRNA". It matches the Rfam family "Eukaryotic small subunit ribosomal RNA", at positions 515 to 1028 of the family's 1831-position model. The record is from RNAcentral. Lineage: Eukaryota; Apicomplexa; Aconoidasida; Piroplasmida; Babesiidae.
UGAUGGUGACCUAAACCCUCACCAGAGUAACAAUUGGAGGGCAAGUCUGGUGCCAGCAGCCGCGGUAAUUCCAGCUCCAAUAGCGUAUAUUAAACUUGUUGCAGUUAAAAAGCUCGUAGUUGAAUUUCUGCGUUAUCGAGUUAUUGACUCUUGUCUUUAAUCGAUUUCGCUUUUGGGAUUUAUCCCUUUUUACUUUGAGAAAAUUAGAGUGUUUCAAGCAGACUUUUGUCUUGAAUACUUCAGCAUGGAAUAAUAGAGUAGGACUUUGGUUCUAUUUUGUUGGUUUUUGAACCUUAGUAAUGGUUAAUAGGAACGGUUGGGGGCAUUCGUAUUUAACUGUCAGAGGUGAAAUUCUUAGAUUUGUUAAAGACGAACUACUGCGAAAGCAUUUGCCAAGGACGUUUCCAUUAAUCAAGAACGAAAGUUAGGGGAUCGAAGACGAUCAGAUACCGUCGUAGUCCUA